RNAcentral lists this ribosomal RNA (369 nucleotides) under uncultured bacterium. RNAcentral describes it as "bacterial SSU rRNA". It matches the Rfam family "Bacterial small subunit ribosomal RNA", at positions 28 to 372 of the family's 1533-position model. The record is from RNAcentral.
GAUGAACGCUAGCGGCGUGCCUAACACAUGCAAGGUCGAACGGGGUACCCGAAACGGAGACUUCGGUUGAAGUUUUGGACUACCUAGUGGCGGACGGGUGAGUAACGCGUGAGCAAGUCUGCCUCACAGAGGGGGAUAACACAGAGAAAUUUGUGGCUAAUACCGCAUAAUGGUAAUAGAUAAGACAUCUUAUUUAUACCGAAAGAUUUAUCGCUGUGAGAUGAGGCUCGCGUCUGAUUAGUUAGUUGUGGGGUAACGGCCUACCAAGACGACGAUCAGUAGCCGGACUGAGAGGUUGAACGGCCACAUUGGGACUGAGACACGGCCCAGUACUCCUACGGGAGGCAGCAGUAGGGAAUUUUGCGCAAU